GGGUCUGCGGCAGCUUACACAUGCAGUCGAGGGGCAGCACGUCUUCGGAUGGUGGCGACCGGCGCACGGGUGCGUAACGCGUAUACAAUCUACCUUUUACAGAGAGAUACCCCAGAGAAAUUUGGAAUAAUACCUCAUAAUAUUGUUAAUUGGCAUCAAUUGACAAUUAAAGUUUCGGCGGUAAGAGAUGAGUAUGCGUCCUAUUAGCUAGUUGGUAAGGUAACGGCUUACCAAGGCGACGAUAGGUAGGGGUCCUGAGAGGGAGAUCCCCCACACUGGUACUGAGACACGGACCAGACUCCUACGGGAGGCAGCAGUGAGGAAUAUUGGUCAAUGGGCGAAAGCCUGAACCAGCCAUGCCGCGUGCAGGAAGACUGCCCUAUGGGCUGUAAACUGCUUUUAUACAGGAAGAAACACUCGGACGUGUCCGAGCUUGACGGUACUGUAUGAAUAAGCACCGGCUAACUCCGUGCCAGCAGCCGCGGUAAUACGGAGGGUGCAAGCGUUAUCCGGAAUCAUUGGGUUUAAAGGGUCCGUAGGCGGAUUAAUAAGUCAGGGGUGAAAUCCCACAGCUUAACUGUGGAACUGCCUUUGAUACUGUUAGUCUUGAGUUAUAUGGAAGUAGAUAGAAUGUGUAGUGUAGCGGUGAAAUGCAUAGAUAUUACACAGAAUACCGAUUGCGAAGGCAGUCUACUACGUAUAUACUGACGCUAAUGGACGAAAGCGUGGGGAGCGGACAGGAUUAGAUACCCUGGGUAGUCCACGCCGUAAACGAUGGACACUAGUUGUUGGAGCAACUCAGUGACUAAGCGAAAGUGAUAAGUGUCCCACCUGGGGAGUACGAUCGCAAGAUUGAAACUCAAAGGAAUUGACGGGGGCCCGCACAAGCGGUGGAGCAUGUGGUUUAAUUCGACGAUACGCGAGGAACCUUACCAGGGCUAAAUGUAGGUUGCAUAGACAGAGAUGUUUAUUUCUCCGGGACUACUUACAGGUGCUGCAUGGUUGUCGUCAGCUCGUGC
RNAcentral lists this ribosomal RNA (1019 nucleotides) under uncultured bacterium. Its description in RNAcentral is "bacterial SSU rRNA". It matches the Rfam family "Bacterial small subunit ribosomal RNA", at positions 33 to 1065 of the family's 1533-position model. The record is from RNAcentral.